This 1185-nucleotide long non-coding RNA is filed under the name Coturnix japonica (Japanese quail). RNAcentral's name for it is "lncRNA (ENSCJPG00005006433.1)". The record is from RNAcentral. Lineage: Eukaryota; Metazoa; Chordata; Aves; Galliformes; Phasianidae.
ACCAAUCAGCGUGCGUCAUCAGACCGGAUCAGCCAAUCAGAGGCGGCCGUGUCCCGUGUGGGACAGGGAAGCUCCAUUCACAGCCGGGACCAUUUUGGGGCAGAAAACCCCAUUUUUGGGGCAAAAUCCGUAUUUUUGACCCCAAAAUUCCCAUUUUUGGACCCAAAUUCCCCUAUUUUGGGCCUAAAUCCCCAUUUUGCCCCCCAAAAAAUCACCAUUUUUGACCCCAAACACCCAAUUUAUGCCCCAAAACUCCUAUUUUUGACCCCAAAUCUCUAUUUUAAAUGCCUAAAAACCCCCUUUUUGACCCCAAAAUCCCCAUUUUUAGCCUUAAAUCCCCCAUUAUGGAGCCCCAAAUCCCCCAUUUCUGACCCCAAAAUCCCCCUUUUUGCCUCCAAAUCCCCAUUUCUGACCCUAAAACCCUCAUUUUUANNNNNNNNNNNNNNNNNNNNNNNNNNNNNNNNNNNNNNNNNNNNNNNNAAAUCCCCAUUUUUUGCCCCAAAUCUCCCAUUUUUGACCCCUAAAUCCCCAUUUUUUGCCCCAAAUCUCCCAUUUUUGACCCCAAAAUCCCCGUUUUUUGCCCCAAAUCUCCAUUUUAAACCCCCCAAAUCCCCAUUUUUUGCUCCCAAAAGUCCCUUUUUUGGGCCCAAAUCCUCAAUUGUAGGCCCCAAAUCUCCCAUUUUUGGCCCCAAAUCUCCAUUUUUAUCCCCCAAAAUCCCCAUUUCUGACCCCAAACCCCCCAUUUUUUGUCCCAAAAUCCCCAUUUUUGACCCCAAAUUGCCCAUUUUUAGGGCCUUUUUGCCCCAAAAAUGACACUUUUCCCUCUCCAAGCCGUUUUAUUGCAGCUCCCUUCAAUGCUUCUUACUGGCAGCCGCAACCUGCAAAAGAACCCAAAAAGACCCUAAAUGAGCCCAAAUGGACCCAAAAUGACCCUAAAUGAGCCCAAAAGGAAUCCAAAAUCCCAUAAUGACCCCAAAAAGACCCCAAAGGACCCCAAAAUAACCCCAAAAAAGCCCAAAAUGACGCCAAAAAGCCCCAAAUCUGCCCCCAAAAUAACCCUAAAGUCCCAAAAUGACCCCAAAGCCCCAAAAGACCCCAAAAUUGACCCCAAAUCCCCCAAAAUUGACCCAAAAUCCCCCAAAAUUGACCCAAAAUCCCCCAAAAUUGACCCAAAAUCCCCCAAAA